UACGUAGGGUGCAAGCGUUAAUCGGAAUUACUGGGCGUAAAGCGUGCGCAGGCGGUUAUGUAAGACAGGUGUGAAAUCCCCGGGCUUAACCUGGGAAUGGCAUUUGGGACUGCAAGGCUGGAGUGCGGCAGAGGAGACUGGAAUUCCUGGUGUAGCAGUGAAAUGCGUAGAUAUCAGGAGGAACACCGAUGGCGAAGGCAGGUCUCUGGGCUGACACUGACGCUCAUGCACGAAAGCGUGGGGAGCAAACAGG
Molecule: ribosomal RNA, 253 nt
Filed under: uncultured bacterium
Lineage: Bacteria
Description: partial 16S ribosomal RNA
Rfam family: Bacterial small subunit ribosomal RNA
Source: RNAcentral